This 1298-nucleotide long non-coding RNA is filed under the name Ursus maritimus (polar bear). Its description in RNAcentral is "lncRNA (ENSUMAG00000011592.1)". The record is from RNAcentral. Lineage: Eukaryota; Metazoa; Chordata; Mammalia; Carnivora; Ursidae.
GAGUCAUCUCAUGACACUUGAACAGAAGAGAAUCAUAACAUGGUUCUCAGAUACUUAGAUUCUGCUUCAUAUUUUAAUCUGUCUAGAUAGAGCUAUGAAGAAAUUGAUAUUUCUGUUUUAAACUUACACAGCUUUAUUGGAUGAUGACUCCUGGGAUCUCAGUGGUAGGCCUGGAUGAGACAGAGAUAAGCUUCCACUAUGAGGGCCUGGAAUGUAGUCAUUGUGGCCCUGGCAAAAUAUACUGUCAUCCUGGGAAUUACAAAAACACUGGAUACCAGAUGCUGCUGCACAAAUCAGAAACCUCAUCAACAUUGAAUCUUGUUCCUGACCUAGAGGAAGAAUAACGUAUGUGGAAACAAUCCGCAAAAUGUAAAAUGCUAUAAAAAUGCUAGUUUUUGUUAUUCGUGUAACAAUCUAUUUUAAUGAUUUUUUUUUUUUUUUUUUUUUUUUUUUUUUUUUUUUUGGUGGUCCCUAGCACAGCUCUUGCCCAGAGGAUUAAGACAGAUCAGCUUUGGUGAUAAACAUAUCUUUGUGCAAGUGUAGCCCUUGGCAACAAGAGGGGUAAUUGUUUAGAAACAAGUGCCUUCUGGUAAGAAAGAGAGCAAACAAGAGUGAAGGAUAGUUCCAAAUAGUUCUGAGAAAGGCCAGCCUUUCCAGCUCAAGAGAGGUAUUCUCAGGCUGUUGGUGAGGAGUGGUCUGUCGCCCAGAGGACCAAUUGGUUUGGAUGAAGCCAGACUGUAAAGCAUAUCAGGAAAGAGAGUCCUCUGGAAAUCUCUCUUUUUCCUUAAAUCUUUCAGGAUCGUUUUGAAAGUCCGAGGGUAGAACCUAUGGACCAUCCACAAUUUAGAAAACUCAGACUAGUCAGACGUUCAACAGAUGGAAGUGUCACUCACCCAAAGGCCAGGGGUAUGCUCACUUGGGAAGCCUCGUUGGCCGUGGGAGACUGAACUAUGGGAGGUGGUAGUAAUGGGGGAGACUCUCUUUUGGGAUUCCCCAGGGUCAGGAAGAGAUUACAGUUAACCAACAAAUGUGUGCAGUGGGUCGAGGUGAAGGAAAUAACUUCUGUGUGGAAGUUGGUGGGACACAGGCGACUGACAGUGCUAAUGAUAGGUCAGUGAUGUGUGUGUGUGUGUGUGUCGGUGCUGGUAGGGGAGUUGAAUGUGCGUGUAUGGAGGAGUUGUAAAAAAGAAGGUUUUUUUUUUUGUAGUCUCAUUUUUUUCUGUUUAUAAAAGAAAUACAAGAAUAUUGUAGAACAUAUGGGAAAAUAUAGAAAAGAAUAAAGAAGAAAAUUAAAAUCA